AUCCUUUUCCAAUUCAUAAGCAUGAUGAUUGGGUGUUCAAGCGGUUGUGUGAGACGUGCCUCCCUUAAACCUUGUUACAACAUCAGCACAUUACCCUUCUGACA
Molecule: small nucleolar RNA, 104 nt
Organism: Talpa occidentalis (Iberian mole)
Lineage: Eukaryota; Metazoa; Chordata; Mammalia; Eulipotyphla; Talpidae
Product: small nucleolar RNA U13
Exons: 1
Source: RefSeq, a predicted model, not a curated record